Molecule: ribosomal RNA, 258 nt
Filed under: uncultured bacterium
Lineage: Bacteria
Description: partial 16S ribosomal RNA
Rfam family: Bacterial small subunit ribosomal RNA
Source: RNAcentral
UACGGAGGGUGCAAGCGUUAUCCGGAUUUACUGGGUUUAAAGGGUGCGCAGGCGGAUAUGUAAGUCAGUGGUGAAAUCUCUAGGCUUAACCUGGAAAUUGCCGUUGAUACUAUAUAUCUUGAAUGCUGUGGAGGUAAGCGGAAAUAUGUCAUGUAGCGGUGAAAAUGCUUAGAUAUGACAUAGAACACCUAUUGCGAAGGCAGCUUACUACGCAGAUAUUGACGCUCAUGCACGAAAAGCGUGGGGGAUCAAAACAGG